This 550-nucleotide ribosomal RNA is filed under the name uncultured Glomeromycotina. RNAcentral describes it as "SSU rRNA". It matches the Rfam family "Eukaryotic small subunit ribosomal RNA", at positions 548 to 1098 of the family's 1831-position model. Lineage: Eukaryota; Fungi; Glomeromycota. The record is from RNAcentral.
UUGGAGGGCAAGUCUGGUGCCAGCAGCCGCGGUAAUUCCAGCUCCAAUAGCGUAUAUUAAAGUUGUUGCAGUUAAAAAGCUCGUAGUUGAAUUUCGGGAUCAAUGUUUCGGUCAUGCCGUUGGUAUGUACUGAUAUUAUUGAUUUCUCACCUUCUAAAGAACCGUAAUGCCAUUAAUUUGGUGUCACGGGGAAUUAGGACUGUUACCUUGAAAAAAUUAGAGUGUUUAAAGCAGGCUCACGCUUGAAUACAUUAGCAUGGAAUAAUGAAAUAGGACAUCCGAUUCUAUUUUGUUGGUUUCUAGGAUCGAUGUAAUGAUUAAUAGGGAUAGUUGGGGGCAUUAGUAUUCAAUUGUCAGAGGUGAAAUUCUUGGAUUUAUUGAAGACUAACUUCUGCGAAAGCAUUUGCCAAGGAUGUUUUCAUUAAUCAAGAACGAAAGUUAGGGGAUCGAAGACGAUCAGAUACCGUCGUAGUCUUAACCAUAAACUAUGCCGACUAGGGAUCGGAUGAUGUUAAAUUUUUAAUGACUCAUUCGGCGCCUUACGGGAAAC